RNAcentral lists this transfer-messenger RNA (398 nucleotides) under Sphingomonas caseinilytica. It matches the Rfam family "Alphaproteobacteria transfer-messenger RNA". Rfam says of the family: Bacterial tmRNA, also known as 10Sa RNA or SsrA, is named for its dual tRNA and mRNA-like properties. Its role is to liberate the mRNA from a stalled ribosome. Lineage: Bacteria; Pseudomonadati; Pseudomonadota; Alphaproteobacteria; Sphingomonadales; Sphingomonadaceae. The record is from RNAcentral.
UUGGUUGCAUCAUCAUGACCCCUCACCUAUCUUAAGGGGGCCGGGCAACCGGCUAUGUCGGUAGACUAUCGGGUGGAAUAGGCAUUUCGGACCCGGGGGGCAGUACCCCGGCGCCUCCACCACCAGCGGCGAUGCGUGAAAUCGAAGGAUUUCCGCCGUUGCUGAUGGGGGCGAAACAGGAUCGACGAGUGCAAUAAAGGCCUGGUUGCCGAUCGGAUCGGGCCACCGUGACGGCUCAUUCACACAAGUGCCAACGAUAACGAGGCGCUCGCAAUUGCUGCGUAACUAAGGGCCUAACGGUCUAAGGUUACAAAGACAAAAGCGCGGUCGGACCCCACCGGGCAACAGAAGGGGAUUCCAGCGGUUCGGGGAGCACCGGGCAACAGAAGCUCCCCACC